GAUGAAGAACGCAGCGAAAUGCGAUACGUAAUGUGAAUUGCAAAUUCAGUGAAUCAUCGAGUCUUUGAACGCACAUUGCGCCCUCUGGUAUUCCGGGGGGCAUGCCUGUCCGAGCGUCAUUGCUGCCCUCAAGCACGGCUUGUGUGUUGGGCCCCGUCCUCCGAUCCCGGGGGACGGGCCCGAAAGGCAGCGGCGGCACCGCGUCCGGUCCUCGAGCGUAUGGGGCUUUGUCACCCGCUCUGUAGGCCCGGCCGGCGCUUGCCGAUCAACCCAAAUUUUUAUCCAGGUUGACCUCGGAUCAGGUAGGGAUACCCGCUGAACUUAAGCAUAUCAAUAAGCGGAGGA
This 345-nucleotide unclassified non-coding RNA is filed under the name soil metagenome. RNAcentral describes it as "partial contains 5.8S ribosomal RNA, internal transcribed spacer 2, and large subunit ribosomal RNA". The stretch from base 1 to 119 matches the Rfam family "5.8S ribosomal RNA", at positions 35 to 154 of the family's 154-position model. The record is from RNAcentral.